This 72-nucleotide transfer RNA is filed under the name Cerataphis brasiliensis yeast-like symbiont. RNAcentral's name for it is "tRNA-Thr (AGT) (tRNA-Thr-AGT-1-1)". It matches the Rfam family "tRNA". From Rfam's summary of the family: Transfer RNA (tRNA) molecules are approximately 80 nucleotides in length. Their secondary structure includes four short double-helical elements and three loops (D, anti-codon, and T loops). Lineage: Eukaryota; Fungi; Ascomycota. The record is from RNAcentral.
GCCCCGGUGGCUCAGUGGUAAAGCGCAUCACUAGUAAUGAUGAGAUCGUCAGUUCGAUUCUGGCCCGGGGCA